This 5430-nucleotide long non-coding RNA is filed under the name Lactuca sativa (garden lettuce). RNAcentral's name for it is "long non-coding RNA (LSAT_LNC003432)". The record is from RNAcentral. Lineage: Eukaryota; Viridiplantae; Streptophyta; Magnoliopsida; Asterales; Asteraceae.
AGAUUAUCCUAUAAGCGCAUCUGCUAUUGUUAUGACAAUCUCUAUUUGGCGCAUCUGCCAAGAUCACGACAUUCACUACUUGGUGCAUCUACCGAUAUUAUUCUCAAGCGCAUCUGCUAGUUUUAUGACAUUCUUUAAUUGGUGCAUCUACCAAUAUCAUUCUUAAUCAUCUUUCAUACCUCAUCAUUUUAUCACAUACCAACUAUCUCAUCUACCCAUGUUCUACCCAACAUAUUUGUAGAUAUAAAAUACAUAUACAGUUUAACUCAUUUAAAAACUAUAUAAAACAUUCAUUCCAUACUCAUCUCAAAUAAACAACAAUAUAUAAACACAUAGCACGUAUUUUAUAACAAAUACUUCAUAUUUAUGUGUUAGAAGAAAGUAACCACACACUCUCCCAAACAUAUACUUAAUACAUUCAAACAAUACUUGUAUUAUACCCGUGUUUAUGAAAGGGACUAUACACCCACACAUAUAAACAACUUUAUAUUAUACACAUAGCACGUAUUUUAUAGAAAAUACUUAAUAUUUAUGUGUUAGAAGAAAGUAACUACACACUCACUCGAUCAGAAGAUGAUCGGACAGCACUACGGCUUGUAGAAGUAGUAUUCUUCGGCAGAUCUGGAAGAUCUUCACAAAAACCGGACUCCUCGCGGGCAGAGCUUCGGCUCGGGAAUUUCACUUCUCGGGAUCUUCGGGGCCUCGGGACUUGCUUCGGGGCUCGGGAAUGAUACCGGGGCUUCGGGAUAAUUCUUGCACGAAAAACGAUGCAAAAACGCGAGAAAAAGGGAAGAAAUGAGCAAACUACUCGGCUGCCCUCGACACCCUUUUAUAGGGGGCUGAAACUCGAAUUACGCUGGGCGUAAUUCUACAUUACGCUGGGCGUAAUGUGGAUCAGAUCGCUGACUCCCCCCAUGGAUAAUAUCGGCCAAUAUAUAUUUAAAUUAAAUAUCGAAAAUAUUUAAUAAACUUCAAAAAUUCAUAUCUUCCUCAUACGAACUCCGUUUUCGACGUUCUUUAUAUCCCCGCGUAGGUGAGACUACGCUCUACAACUUUCGUUUAGACUUCGUCGGCUAAUUUUGACUUUAUUUUUAUUAUUUAUUUUUAGUAGGCCGGGACAGGAAAACUCCGUUAUAAAAUCAUAACUUCUUCAUCCGACGUCCGUUUUCGCCUAUCUUUUUAUCGUUUUACUACAAUUAAUGAGAUCUUCAAUUCUCAUUUAGAUUGUUUCGGCUAAAAACCGCUCGGUCUCAAAUCGAGCAUUCGGGCUGCAUACCGCUAAGUCGAAACUUCGAAAAAUCAUAACUUCCUCAUACGAAGUCAGAUUUGGGCGUUCUUUUUAUGCACGCUCAUGGUUUAACGUAUUCUACGACUUUCAUUUAGAUUGCUAAGGCUAAAUAUCGCUCUAACGUAAAUUCACUUUUUACGUCGCGCUGUGUCGUGCCGGUUCUGUCGCGAAACUUCGACAGGUCAUAACUUCUUCGUUAUAACUCGGAUUUCGGCGUUCUUUAUAUGUACGGAAUCCUUGUAACAUAUACUACAACUUAGUUAAGAUUAUUCAUUCUAAAUAAUCUUUCAUCAAAAAUUCAUUUUUGACGCCUAUCGUCUCUAAAUUGACUAGCCCUGAUCUACGGGCGUUACAAUUAUCUCCCCCUUAGGAUGAUUACGUCCCGGAAUCAUCAACGAAAAUAGAACUUGUAUAAUGAUUCCAUACGCUAUCUCUUCAUCCUAGGUAAUAACCGUAAAUUCUAUGUUUCCUCGAAAGAGUAUUUAACUCUAUGGCUUUCUUGACCGCAGACGAUGCCCAAUCUUGCAUCUGCUUAUCGUACUAUGUUGUACUUUCAAUCGUAACCCUCGAGUUACCAAAUAAGUCGUUAUUAUGGACUCCUUCUUCUUCUCAGGAUAAAUACUUUCCUUUAUCUAUUGUAACAAACCGAUGGGUCGUGCUCUACUGACCUCUCAUCGAAUGAUGCAAUGCUUAGACUCAGGUCUCUUAGAGUUAAAUUCCAAAAUGGAAUAUACCUUCCUUCAUAUUCUAAUGUGAUAUAAUCACAUUUCAGCAUGUAGCAUUUCUACCUACAAACUUCUUUUAACAACGAGCGCGACACUAUCAAUCGCAUUAACUUCAACCUUCUGACUUAAGUCAGAUGUUACAUCUAACUUGGUCCUCUAGACCACGUAACAUACUCCUCGUAGUCGAACUCAAAUUUAAACAUGACCACUAGGGUCGGAACAAGAACCAUCUUACUAGUCAUUACCGAAACAAUGGUAAUGACAUACCAGAAUAAAAUGGAAUCAAUCACUAGCUUCUUGGUAACCUUGUGACUUUCCCUGAUCCAAGUGCGAGUCCUGUGCUUCCGGUAGUAUAUGCAUCUACUACCUUUCACACCUACUCAUACUCGUCCCAAGUAUUGUCCUGCAGUCGACCAAGUCACCAUACAAGAAAAUCAGACAAUCAUUCAACACAUCAGUUAGCAAAACUAGGGUUUAUAUUAAUUCCUUGAAACGAUUACACAAAAGUUCAAGUUCAACCUAUACUAUGCCUCUAAUAGGCUACAUACAUGAUACUUUUCAUAUCGCUACUUUAUAACUUGAUCUUUAGAUAUAAGAUCCUUAUUCCUGAUUCCUUGCAUUGCCAUCUGCUUCAUCAAGGAUCAUUUGAAAUGCUCUUGCCUUUAGCUUUGGCGGCGCCUCUAGCCUUGCUGCUUGAUUUUUCCUUGGGCAGUCUUGCUUGAAGUGCCCCUCUUCGUUACAUUCGUAACACACCUUUUUGUUGAAAAUACAUUCAUCGGCGUAAUGCCCAUGCUUUCCACACUUGAAACAUGUCACCUCCACGCCACAUUUUCCUGAGUGCUUCUUCUUGCACUUAUCGCACCACCUUGCCUCAUCCCUUCCUCCUCCUCCAGACUUCGAGAAUUUUCUCUUCUCAUUAGAACUUGAAGUUCCUUCUAACAUUCUCUUCUCGCAAACUUCAACCUUAUUGUCAGUCCUCCCCUUGAUCAUAUUCUCAACAGACUUGGUAGCCCAAAUAGCUGCCUCUCAAGUAGGUGCCUAACGCACUGGCACUGCAUACUCCCAAGGGAGUCCCUUUGCGUACUGGUCGACUUUUGUCAGUUCGUUUGGGACGAUGCGCAAAGGAAACUCCAUCUUGUCUGUGAAGACAUUAGUGUAUUCAUCCACUGACAUGCUGCCUUUCUUCAAUAUCAGAAAUUUGUUCUCCAACUCUAGCAGGUUUUGGGCCGAGCAGAACUUGCGCUUGAAUUGCAUCAAGAACUCUGCCUAGGUCAGUUGUAGUGGCUCAUUAGGUCUUAGGAUCUUCCCUAGAGUGUUCCACCAUCGAAUGGCUCCACCUCGGAACUGACGCACUGCAUAGAUAGUCUGCAACUUGCCUCUACAACCACAAGUCAUGAAGGCUAACUCCAUUUAUGAGAUCCAAUCCGUAACUCCAAUUGGAUCCUCCUUUCCAUUGAAGGUCGAUGGUUUGCAAGUUAGAAAGUCCUUGUACUUGCAUCCCAUUCCAUCAUUCCUUCCAUCAUGGUUGUGUUGUCUAACUAUUGGUGGGUUGGCUUGACCAACAGACCCACUGAAGUUUCCACCUUUCGAGUGCCCUUCAUUUAAUUCAGGCUCUUCCACAUGAAUUGAUAGUUCUUCACGAUUCUGUUGAAGCAACCGCCUAGUCUCCUCCAUUUGACGAUCCAAAAUCGUUUGAAUCAUCAAUUGUACACCAGCCAUUGUUAUCGGCUCAGGUGCUACUGCUAUGACAGGUAUUUGCUCAAUCACGGGUGGUUGAUUCCUGUUUUCAUCAGCAUAUCCAACUCCACUUCUUGUUCUCACCAUUUUUGAUCUACACGCCGAAUAAGGUGAAAUUAGAUCCUCAUUCACGAUAGAUAUUCAAUCGUCCUUAUCACUCCGAAACGUUUAUAUGCUAGUUCUAAUAUCGUAUCCAUACGCUUAGAAUCCUAAACACAUAAGGUUUCCAGAUCCGGUCGGCAACAGACCAUAGAUCCGAACAAAUAAUAGCAUCAAUAUAACUAUCACACAAAACAUUUUGCACAUAAAAGCAUUUUAGGCAUCAUUCCUAAAAUAAACUAGUGCUUGUGUCAAUUUAGGUGUACUACCUAACAUAUUUUAGACACACUCCUCACAAUCAUUACUUAGCAUUCUAAGUUUAAGUCUAGAAAUUUCCUACAAAUUCCUAGUUCGCUUAAACUAAUGCUCUGAUACCAACUGUGACAUCCCCAAUUUCACGGCCAGAAAAGACCGAUUUGUUUAUGCUUUGUUUUAUAAAACAGAGUGAUCGUUUAAAGAAAACGGUUGCGGAAUUUGUUCCCAAAAUAAAAUAUGAUAACCAUUUAUCAAAACGUUUCUCAAAGAGAAUGUAUUUUCAUUAAAUAAUAAAACCUCGGGAUGUCAUGUUCCGAUACAGACCAAAAGCAUAAACAAUAAUAAAUAGACCUUACAACAGUUAUUCAUAACUACUGGCCUAUAAUCCAAAAUCUCUCGUCAAGUCCACCAACUUAUACUCUUGUGCCAUUACCUGUAAUGCAAAGAAAACUGAGUGGGUCAGGCUUGGGAGCCUGGUGAGCAUAUAGGGUUUUCAACCCACAAUAAUAUAAUUAUUAUAUUCAACCAUCAAACAAUCAACUCAAUUACUCAUCCCUAUUAUCUUUCUUAGGAUUUUACCCUAGGAAUUCAACUACCCGUCAUUCAUUCAUUCCUAAGGAUUGACCUAAGGAAUUAGCACAAACUUCCAUUGCUACAUAAGGCGCAUCUGCCAACAUUAUCCUUUAAGCGCCUCUGCCAGGAUUACGUCAUACACUAUGAGGCGCGACUGCCAGGUUUAUGACAUUCUCUUUUAGGCGCAUCUGCCGACAUUAUCUUAUAAGCGCAUCUGCCAAGAUUAUCCUAUAAGCGCAUCUGCUAUUGUUAUGACAAUCUCUAUUUGGCGCAUCUGCCAAGAUCACGACAUUCACUACUUGGUGCAUCUACCGAUAUUAUUCUCAAGCGCAUCUGCUAGUUUUAUGACAUUCUUUAUUUGGUGCAUCUACCAAUAUCAUUCUUAAUCAUCUUUCAUACCUCAUCAUUUUAUCACAUACCAACUAUCUCAUCUACCCAUGUUCUACCCAACAUAUUUGUAGAUAUAAAAUACAUAUACAGUUUAACUCAUUUAAAAACUAUAUAAAACAUCAAUUCAUACUCAUCUCAAAUAAACAACAAUAUAUAAACACAUAGCACAUAUUUUAUAACAAAUACUUCAUAUUUAUGUGUUAGAAGAAAGUAACCACACACUCACCCAAACAUAUAGUUAAUACAUUCAAACAAUACUUGUAUUAUACCCGUGUUUAUGAAAGGGACUAUACACCCACACAUAUAAACAACUUUAUAUUAUACACAUAGCACGUAUUUUAUAGAAAAUACUUAAUAUUUAUG